GGAUCAAUUUGUCGGUCGUGCCUCGGUACGUACUGGCAUUAUUGGUUUCUCCCUUCUGACGAACCGCGAUGUCAUUAAUUUGGUGUCGUGGGAAAUCAGGACUGUUACUUUGAAAAAAUUAGAGUGUCUAAAGCAGGCUCACGCUUGAAUACACUAGCAUGGAAUAAUGAAAUAGGACGUUUGGUUCUAUUUUGUUGGUUUUUAGGAUCGACGUA
Molecule: ribosomal RNA, 215 nt
Filed under: Glomus sp.
Lineage: Eukaryota; Fungi; Glomeromycota; Glomeromycetes; Glomerales; Glomeraceae
Description: partial small subunit ribosomal RNA
Rfam family: Eukaryotic small subunit ribosomal RNA (bases 38-215)
Source: RNAcentral